AGGCCAAACUAAUAGACCCUCGGCGUAAAGCGUGUUCCAGAGAUAAAAUAAUAAAUAAGAUCAAACCUUGACUAAGCUGUAAAAAGCCUCAGACAUUGUAAGAUACAUAACGAAAGUAAUUUUAAAAAAUCUGAUUACACGAUAGCUAAGAUCCAAACUGGGAUUAGAUACCCCACUAUGCCUAGCCCUAAACAUAAAAAAUUAUAAACAAAAUUAUUCGCCAGAGUACUACUAGCAAUAGCUUAAAACUCAAAGGACUUGGCGGUGCCUUAUAUCCUUCUAGAGGAGCCUGUUCUAUAAUCGAUAAACCCCGAUAUACCUCACCAGUCUUUGCUAAAU
This 339-nucleotide ribosomal RNA is filed under the name Myotis riparius (Riparian myotis). Its description in RNAcentral is "partial 12S ribosomal RNA". It matches the Rfam family "Bacterial small subunit ribosomal RNA", at positions 536 to 989 of the family's 1533-position model. The record is from RNAcentral. Lineage: Eukaryota; Metazoa; Chordata; Mammalia; Chiroptera; Vespertilionidae.